UACGGAGGGUGCAAGCGUUUAUCCGGAUUCACUGGGUUUAAAGGGUGCGUAGGUGGGCAGUUAAGUCAGUGGUGAAAUCUCCGGGCUCAACCCGGAAACUGCCAUUGAUACUAUCUGUCUUGAAUAUCGUGGAGGUAAGCGGAAUAUGUCAUGUAGCGGUGAAAUGCUUAGAUAUGACAUAGAACACCAAUUGCGAAGGCAGCUUACUACCCGAAUAUUGACACUGAGGCACGAAAGCGUGGGGAUCAAACAGG
Molecule: ribosomal RNA, 254 nt
Filed under: uncultured bacterium
Lineage: Bacteria
Description: partial 16S ribosomal RNA
Rfam family: Bacterial small subunit ribosomal RNA
Source: RNAcentral